Rattus rattus (black rat) is the source of this 106-nucleotide small nuclear RNA. The record is from RefSeq and is a predicted model, not a curated record. NCBI's taxonomy places the organism in Eukaryota, Metazoa, Chordata, Mammalia, Rodentia, Muridae.
GUGCUUGCUUAGCAGCACAUAUGCUAAAGUUGGAAUGACACAGAGAAGAUUGGUAUGGCCCCUGUGCAAGGGUGAUAUGUAAUUUCAUGAAGUGUUCCAUAUUUUA